UGACAGGACAUUUGAACAGGGGAUGC
This 26-nucleotide non-coding RNA is filed under the name Homo sapiens (human). The record is from RNAcentral. Lineage: Eukaryota; Metazoa; Chordata; Mammalia; Primates; Hominidae.